This 777-nucleotide ribosomal RNA is filed under the name Triticum aestivum (bread wheat). RNAcentral describes it as "partial small subunit ribosomal RNA". The record is from RNAcentral. Lineage: Eukaryota; Viridiplantae; Streptophyta; Magnoliopsida; Poales; Poaceae.
AUGAAGCAGCAUGUGAAGCUAUUUGUUGAGGAGUGCCAAGUGUGCAAACAGGCGAAGCCGGAGCGUGUCCGCUACCCAGGAUUGUUGGAGCCACUGCCCGUGCCCAAACAGGCAUGGGAGCUCGUUACCAUGGACUUUGUUGAAGGGCUGCCACAAUCCUCUCGCUACAACAUUAUCCUGGUGGUCGUGGACAAGUUUUCACGGUACGCACACUUCAUUCCUUUGGUCCACCCAUUCACGGCGUUUCAAGUCGCUCAGGCCUUCGUGAACAACAUCUACAAGCUCCAUGGUCUGCCGGAGGCCAUCGUCUCGGAUCGAGACCCUAUCUUCACAAGCACCACGUGGAAGGAGAUGUUCAGACUAACUCACACAAAGCUGCGCAUGAGCACGGCACGACACCCGCAGACCGAUGGGCAGUCUGAGCGGGUGAACCAGUGCCUCGAGACGUACCUAAGGUGCUUUGUGCAUGCGUGCCCGUCCAAGUGGUCCUCGUGGCUGGCACUAGCAGAGUUCUGGUACAACACUUCCCCUCAUUCAGCAUUGGGGAUCUCUCCAUUUGAAGCUUUGUAUGGUCAUGCUCCACGGCAUUUCGGCAUCAUGGACCCGGUGGCAUGCGCUGCUCCGGACCUGCACGAUUGGCUACAAGAUCGUGCCCAGAUGGAGGCUUUGCUCCGACAACACCUGCUCCGCGCUCAGCAACAAAUGAAGGAGUCUACUGACAAGCAUCGGUCUGCAAGAACCUUCAACGUGGAUGACUGGGUGUUCCUCAAGAUUUAG